RNAcentral lists this ribosomal RNA (253 nucleotides) under uncultured prokaryote. RNAcentral's name for it is "partial 16S ribosomal RNA". It matches the Rfam family "Bacterial small subunit ribosomal RNA", at positions 523 to 775 of the family's 1533-position model. The record is from RNAcentral.
AUACGUAGGGUGCUAACGUUGUUCGGAAUCACUGGGCAUAAAGAGCGCGUAGGCGGUCUGAUCAGUCAGGUGUGAAAUCCCCCGGCUCAACCGGGGAACUGCACCUGAUACUGUCGGGCUUGAGUGCAGGAGGGGAGAGCGGAAUUCCUGGUGGAGCGGUGAAAUGCGUAGAUAUCAGGAGGAACGCCGGCGGCGAAAGCGGCUCUCUGGUCUGUUACUGACGCUGAGGCGCGAAAGCUAGGGGAGCAAACGG